RNAcentral lists this ribosomal RNA (439 nucleotides) under uncultured bacterium. RNAcentral describes it as "partial 16S ribosomal RNA". It matches the Rfam family "Bacterial small subunit ribosomal RNA", at positions 338 to 794 of the family's 1533-position model. The record is from RNAcentral.
CCUACGGGAGGCAGCAGUGGGGAAUAUUGCACAAUGGGGGAAACCCUGAUGCAGCAAUGCCGCGUGAGUGAAGAAGUAUUUCGGUAUGUAAAGCUCUAUCAGCAGGGAAGAAGAUGACGGUACCUGACCAAUAACUCCCGGCCAACUACGUCCCAGCAGCCGCGGUCAUACGUAGGGGGCAAGCGUUCUACGGAUUUACUGGGUGUAACGUGAACGCAGACGGCAGGGCAAGUCUGGCGUGAAAGCCCGGGGCCCAACCCCGGAACUGCUCCUGAGACUGGGCGGCGAGAGUACUGGAGGGGCAGGCAGAAUUCCAAGUGUAGCGGUGAAAUGCGUAGAGAUGAGGAGGAAUACCAGUGGCGAAGGCGGCCUGUUGGACAGGAACUGACGUUGAGGCUCGAAAGCGUGGGGAGCAAACAGGAUUAGAUACCCGAGUAGU